This 2639-nucleotide ribosomal RNA is filed under the name Klebsiella pneumoniae. Its description in RNAcentral is "bacterial LSU rRNA". It matches the Rfam family "Bacterial large subunit ribosomal RNA". The record is from RNAcentral. Lineage: Bacteria; Pseudomonadati; Pseudomonadota; Gammaproteobacteria; Enterobacterales; Enterobacteriaceae.
ACUAUCGUUAACUGAAUACAUAGGUUAACGAGGCGAACCGGGGGAACUGAAACAUCUAAGUACCCCGAGGAAAAGAAAUCAACCGAGAUUCCCCCAGUAGCGGCGAGCGAACGGGGAGCAGCCCAGAGUCUGAAUCAGCUUGUGUGUUAGUGGAACGGUCUGGAAAGUCCGACGGUACAGGGUGAUAGUCCCGUACACCAAAAUGCACAGGCUGUGAACUCGAAGAGUAGGGCGGGACACGUGGUAUCCUGUCUGAAUAUGGGGGGACCAUCCUCCAAGGCUAAAUACUCCUGACUGACCGAUAGUGAACCAGUACCGUGAGGGAAAGGCGAAAAGAACCCCGGCGAGGGGAGUGAAAAAGAACCUGAAACCGUGUACGUACAAGCAGUGGGAGCACCUUCGGGUGUGACUGCGUACCUUUUGUAUAAUGGGUCAGCGACUUAUAUUCUGUAGCAAGGUUAACCGUAUAGGGGAGCCGCAGGGAAACCGAGUCUUAACUGGGCGUUAAGUUGCAGGGUAUAGACCCGAAACCCGGUGAUCUAGCCAUGGGCAGGUUGAAGGUUGGGUAACACUAACUGGAGGACCGAACCGACUAAUGUUGAAAAAUUAGCGGAUGACUUGUGGCUGGGGGUGAAAGGCCAAUCAAACCGGGAGAUAGCUGGUUCUCCCCGAAAGCUAUUUAGGUAGCGCCUCGUGAACUCAUCUUCGGGGGUAGAGCACUGUUUCGGCUAGGGGGUCAUCCCGACUUACCAACCCGAUGCAAACUACGAAUACCGAAGAAUGUUAUCACGGGAGACACACGGCGGGUGCUAACGUCCGUCGUGAAGAGGGAAACAACCCAGACCGCCAGCUAAGGUCCCAAAGUCAUGGUUAAGUGGGAAACGAUGUGGGAAGGCACAGACAGCCAGGAUGUUGGCUUAGAAGCAGCCAUCAUUUAAAGAAAGCGUAAUAGCUCACUGGUCGAGUCGGCCUGCGCGGAAGAUGUAACGGGGCUAAACCAUGCACCGAAGCUGCGGCAGCGACACUAUGUGUUGUUGGGUAGGGGAGCGUUCUGUAAGCCUGCGAAGGUGUGCUGUGAGGCAUGCUGGAGGUAUCAGAAGUGCGAAUGCUGACAUAAGUAACGAUAAAGCGGGUGAAAAGCCCGCUCGCCGGAAGACCAAGGGUUCCUGUCCAACGUUAAUCGGGGCAGGGUGAGUCGACCCCUAAGGCGAGGCCGAAAGGCGUAGUCGAUGGGAAACAGGUUAAUAUUCCUGUACUUGGUGUUACUGCGAAGGGGGGACGGAGAAGGCUAUGUUAGCCGGGCGACGGUUGUCCCGGUUUAAGCAUGUAGGCUGGUUAUCCAGGCAAAUCCGGAUAAUCAAGGCUGAGGUGUGAUGACGAGGCACUACGGUGCUGAAGUAACAAAUGCCCUGCUUCCAGGAAAAGCCUCUAAGCAUCAGGUAACAUCAAAUCGUACCCCAAACCGACACAGGUGGUCAGGUAGAGAAUACCAAGGCGCUUGAGAGAACUCGGGUGAAGGAACUAGGCAAAAUGGUGCCGUAACUUCGGGAGAAGGCACGCUGGUGUGUAGGUGAAGUCCCUGCGGAUGGAGCUGAGACCAGUCGAAGAUACCAGCUGGCUGCAACUGUUUAUUAAAAACACAGCACUGUGCAAACACGAAAGUGGACGUAUACGGUGUGACGCCUGCCCGGUGCCGGAAGGUUAAUUGAUGGGGUUAUCCGUAAGGAGAAGCUCUUGAUCGAAGCCCCGGUAAACGGCGGCCGUAACUAUAACGGUCCUAAGGUAGCGAAAUUCCUUGUCGGGUAAGUUCCGACCUGCACGAAUGGCGUAAUGAUGGCCAGGCUGUCUCCACCCGAGACUCAGUGAAAUUGAACUCGCUGUGAAGAUGCAGUGUACCCGCGGCAAGACGGAAAGACCCCGUGAACCUUUACUAUAGCUUGACACUGAACAUUGAGCCUUGAUGUGUAGGAUAGGUGGGAGGCUUUGAAGCGUGGACGCCAGUCUGCGUGGAGCCAACCUUGAAAUACCACCCUUUAAUGUUUGAUGUUCUAACGUUGGCCCCUGACCGGGGUUGCGGACAGUGUCUGGUGGGUAGUUUGACUGGGGCGGUCUCCUCCCAAAGCGUAACGGAGGAGCACGAAGGUUAGCUAAUCCUGGUCGGACAUCAGGAGGUUAGUGCAAUGGCAUAAGCUAGCUUGACUGCGAGCGUGACGGCGCGAGCAGGUGCGAAAGCAGGUCAUAGUGAUCCGGUGGUUCUGAAUGGAAGGGCCAUCGCUCAACGGAUAAAAGGUACUCCGGGGAUAACAGGCUGAUACCGCCCAAGAGUUCAUAUCGACGGCGGUGUUUGGCACCUCGAUGUCGGCUCAUCACAUCCUGGGGCUGAAGUAGGUCCCAAGGGUAUGGCUGUUCGCCAUUUAAAGUGGUACGCGAGCUGGGUUUAGAACGUCGUGAGACAGUUCGGUCCCUAUCUGCCGUGGGCGCUGGAGAAUUGAGGGGGGCUGCUCCUAGUACGAGAGGACCGGAGUGGACGCAUCACUGGUGUUCGGGUUGUCAUGCCAAUGGCACUGCCCGGUAGCUAAAUGCGGAAGAGAUAAGUGCUGAAAGCAUCUAAGCACGAAACUUGCCCCGAGAUGAGUUCU